Molecule: transfer RNA, 72 nt
Filed under: Fukomys damarensis (Damara mole-rat)
Lineage: Eukaryota; Metazoa; Chordata; Mammalia; Rodentia; Bathyergidae
Rfam family: tRNA
About the family: Transfer RNA (tRNA) molecules are approximately 80 nucleotides in length.
Source: Rfam by way of RNAcentral
AGGGGUGUAGCUCAGUGGUAGAGUAUGUGCUUAGCAUACAUAAGACCUUGGGUUCCAUCCCCAGCACCACAC